Molecule: transfer RNA, 72 nt
Filed under: Camelus bactrianus (Bactrian camel)
Lineage: Eukaryota; Metazoa; Chordata; Mammalia; Artiodactyla; Camelidae
Also listed under: 2 other names
Rfam family: tRNA
About the family: Transfer RNA (tRNA) molecules are approximately 80 nucleotides in length. Their secondary structure includes four short double-helical elements and three loops (D, anti-codon, and T loops).
Source: Rfam by way of RNAcentral
GAGGAUAUAGCUCAGUGGUAGAGUGCAUACCUAGCUUGCACGAGGUCCUGGGUUCAAUCCCCAGUACCUCCA